Molecule: transfer RNA, 74 nt
Filed under: Candidatus Moranbacteria bacterium RIFCSPHIGHO2_01_FULL_55_24
Lineage: Bacteria; Candidatus Moraniibacteriota
Description: tRNA-Ala
Rfam family: tRNA
About the family: Transfer RNA (tRNA) molecules are approximately 80 nucleotides in length. Their secondary structure includes four short double-helical elements and three loops (D, anti-codon, and T loops).
Source: RNAcentral
GGGCCUGUAGUCUAGUGGUAAAACAGUGCAUUCGCAUUGCACAGCCGGCGGUUCGAUUCCGCCCAGGUCCACAA